ACGAGUUAGGGUCUUCCAGGCCCGACCUCCCAACCCUGUGUUUAUUGAACCUCUGUUGCUUCGGCGGACCCGUCUCACGACCGCCGGAGGACCGCUGAAAGGCGUCCUCUGGCCCGCGUCCGCCGGUGGCCAACCUCUUAAACUCUGAAUAAAUCGUGUCAUGUGUCUGAGUCUAUGAUUAAAUUAAAGCA
Molecule: unclassified non-coding RNA, 191 nt
Filed under: uncultured Cladophialophora
Lineage: Eukaryota; Fungi; Ascomycota; Eurotiomycetes; Chaetothyriales; Herpotrichiellaceae
Description: sequence contains ITS1
Source: RNAcentral